Molecule: ribosomal RNA, 403 nt
Filed under: uncultured bacterium
Lineage: Bacteria
Description: partial 16S ribosomal RNA
Rfam family: Bacterial small subunit ribosomal RNA
Source: RNAcentral
GACGAACGCUGGCGGCGUGCCUAAUACAUGCAAGUCGAACGCAGUGGGGACGGGUGAGUAACACGUGGCUAACCUCCCAUCAGAGGGGAUAACCCUUGGAAACAGGUGCUAAACCGCUACUGAUGGAUGGACCCGCGGUGCAUUAGCUAGUUGGUGUGGUAACUGCUCACCAAGGCGACGAUGCAUAGCCAACCUGAGAGGGGGAUCGGCCACACUGGGACUGAGACACGGCCCAGACUCCUACGGGAGGCAGCAGUAGGGAAUCUUCGGCAAUGGACGAAAGUCUGACCGAGCAACGCCGAGUGAGUGAAGAAGGUUUUCGGAUCGUAAAACUCUGUUGGUAGAGAAGCGGUAUCUAACCAGAAAGCCACGGCUAACUACGUGCCAGCAGCCGCGGUAAUUC